This 253-nucleotide ribosomal RNA is filed under the name uncultured bacterium. Its description in RNAcentral is "partial 16S ribosomal RNA". It matches the Rfam family "Bacterial small subunit ribosomal RNA", at positions 524 to 776 of the family's 1533-position model. The record is from RNAcentral.
GACGAACCGUGCGAACGUUGUUCGGAAUCACUGGGCUUAAAGGGCGCGUAGGCGGGCAAGCAAGUCCGGGGUGAAAUCUUUCGGCUCAACCGGAAAAGUGCCUUGGAUACUGCUUGUCUGGAGUGAGGUAGGGGCCGCGGGAACUUCCGGUGGAGCGGUGAAAUGCGUUGAUAUCGGAAGGAACGCCGGUGGCGAAAGCGCGCGGCUGGCCCUCAACUGACGCUGAGGCGCGAAAGCUAGGGGAGCAAACGGG